GCCUGUCCUCCUCUCCACUUGGUCACAGCCUGUCCUCCUCUCCACUUGGUCACAGCCUGUCCUCCUCUCCACUUGGUCACAGCCUGUCCUCCUCUCCACUUGGUCACAGCCUGUCCUCUCCGCAGCCCAACUGGAGGAACCAUUUUCUCCAGAUACUGGCUGGUUGCUAAGCAACAAUAUGGGAAAAAAUUUUCACACACGAGUUUAAUAACAGAUCAGAUCGUCCAACCCUUCUAUAUAGCAAUAACCUAUUGACGUGACUCAAAUAAGAUCUGAUCGCAGAUCCGAUUCACCAAUUGCCUACAGCAGAAAUCUGUUGAGAUGAUUCAGAUUUGUUUCUUGCAACACACCCAAAGGUUGGUGGUAUUUGCUUUCGGUGCAGCAUGGUAGUUGAAUAUGAUCUCCUUCUACAAUGCAGAUCCUCAAACCCCUCUUAAUCUUAACAGAUACCUGUUGCUGGGUGCAGAGUUAGAGAGACAGGCAGCAGAAACCUGUUGCUGGGUGCAGAGCUAAAGAGACAGGCAGUAGAGACUUGGCUCUAGAACACACUGAUCUAUAACCAACAGGCUCUAGAAUACACUGAUCUAUAACCAACAGGCUCUAGAAUACACUGAUCUAUAACCAACAGGCUCUAGAAUACACUGAUCUAUAAACAACAGGCUCUAGAAUGCACGGAUCUAUAACCAACAGGUUCUAGAACACACUGAUCUAUAACCAACAGGCUCUAGAAUACACUGAUCUAUAACCAACAGGCUCUAGAAUACACUGAUCUAUAACCAACAGGCUCUAGAAUACACUGAUCUAUAACCAACAGGCUCUAGAAUACACUGAUCUAUAACCAACAGGCUCUAGAAUACACUGAUCUAUAACCAACAGGCUCUAGAAUACACUGAUCUAUAAACAACAGGCUCUAGAAUACACUGAUCUAUAACCAACAGGCUUGGCUCUAGAACACACUGAUCUAUAACCAACAGGCUCUAGAACACACUGAUCUAUAACCAACAGGCUCUAGAAUACACUGAUCUAUAACCAACAGGCUCUAGAAUAGUUUGAUCUAUAACCAACAGGCUCUAGAAUACACUGAUCUAUAACCAACAGGCUCUAGAAUACACUGAUCUAUAACCAACAGGCUCUAGAAUACACUGAUCUAUAACCAACAGGCUCUAGAACACACUGAUCUAUAACCAACAGGCUCUAGAACACACUGAUCUAUAACCAACAGGCUCUAGAAUACACUGAUCUAUAACCAACAGGGUCUAGAAUACACUGAUCUAUAACCAACAGGUUCUAGAAUAGACUGAUCUAUAACCAACAGGUUCUAGAAUACACUGAUCUAUAACCAACAGGCUCUAGAAUACACUGAUCUAUAACCAACAGGCUCUAGAACACACUGAUCUAUAACCAACAGGCUCUAGAACACACUGAUCUAUAACCAACAGGCUCUAGAAUACACUGAUCUAUAACCAACAGGGUCUAGAAUACACUGAUCUAUAACCAACAGGUUCUAGAAUAGACUGAUCUAUAACCAACAGGUUCUAGAAUACACUGAUCUAUAACCAACAGGCUCUAGAAUACACUGAUCUAUAACCAACAGGCUCUAGAAUACACUGAUCUAUAAACAACAGGCUCUAGAAUACACUGAUCUAUAACCAACAGACUUGGUUCUAGAAUAUACCUCUAUACAUACAGUACUUUCAGCGGUGACCUGUCAUUCAGGGCUGUUUUGAGCCCUACCUGCUUAGCCCCCCCUGUUUUGCAUGUUAUUUUUAUCAGUUUGCAAACAAUAAAAAAAUAAUUGAGUUAAUAAAGCCACAUGCAAAACAUUUUUUUUCUUGAGUAAGGCAGCUCCAAAAUGCAGGUGUUUCAUCCUAGCUCAGUGAUUUCUGUGGUGGUGGAGCAGCCAGCGGGAAAUACAGGGCGUAGGGGUUGGUAACGUUCUCUAAUUGCGCCGUGAUUGGCUCAGUGUUGUCACUCAUUGGGAUACUAGGUCACCGCAAAAUCUACAGGGAGAGCUCGAAAAUUCAAGCCCCUUGGGUUCUGCCAUAGAUUUACAUUAGAAGUGCCCAUCCAAGAAGGCUCAAGAUCAUUGGCCACAGAUAUAAUUACAUCAAAUCACGUUAUAUGUACCGUUGCUUUGAUUGGACUGAUCAUGUCAACAUACUUUCAAAAUCUUAGCUAGCAAGCGGUCAUCAUCAUGCAUCAAGUCAACAAUCUACUGGCAAAUCCUUCUCAAGGUGAGAAAUUACAGCUAAAACGUAUCGGUGCUCGUCGGCUAUUGGACAUAAACAUUACACAAGUUGGAAAUAGGAAAUUCAACAAUGAGUGGUUUGGAAGGAAUCAGUGGCUAACUGCAAGCGUUGCUAAGCAAUCACUAGCCGGCUAAUCAGUGGAGAGGGUGUGUGGUCCAAGUCUGGGUUUAAGGGUCUCUUUUCCAAGCUUAAAAAGGAUAAACAUUCACAUGCAACACAAUGGCCCAUUCAAAACAACUGGAAACUCGGAAAUCUCAGACUUCAGUGAGUUCAAGACAACUGGGAACUCUGGAAAGAAAAUGUUUUAAAAAGAGUUCCCGACUGGGAAAAUGUGUUUUUAACGGUCAUCCAACUCGGAAACUUUCUGACUUUAAGAUUAUGAUUCACUCCAUUUCUUUUUUCCUGAGUUUUGUUUGUUUUCCUGAGUUUCCAGUUUUUCUUCCACAAAUGUCUUGUUAACAAACUAUAGUUUUGGCAAGUCAGUUAAGACAUCUACUUUGUGCAUGACACAAGUCAUUUUUCCAACAAUUGUUUACAGACAGAUUAUUUCACUUAUAAUUCACUGCAUCACAAUUCCAGUGGGUCAGAAGUUUACAUACACUAAGUUGACUGUGCCUUUAAACAGCUUGGAAAAUUCCAGAAAAUUAUGUAAUUGCCAAUCAGAAGCUUUUAUGGAUGUAUUUCAAGGCCUACCUUCAAACUCAGUGCCUCUUUGCUUGACAUCGUGGGAAAAUCAAAAUAAAUCAGCCAAGAACUCAACCACAAGCCUGGUUCAUUCUUGGGAGCAAUUUCCAAAUGCCUGAAGGCACCACGUUCAUCUGUACAAACAAUAGUAUGCAAGUAUAAACACCAUGGGACCACGCAGCCGGCAUACCAGGAAGGAGACGUAUUCUGUCUCCUAGAGAUGAAUGUACUUUGGUGCGAAAAGUGCAAAUCAAUCCCAGAACAACAGCAAAGGACCUUGUGAAGAUGCUGGAGGAAACAGGGUCAAAAGUAUCUAUAUCCACAGAAAAAUUAGUCCUAUAUCCACAGAACCUGAAAGGUCACUCAGCAAGGAAGAAGCCACUGCUCAAAAAUCACCAUAAAAAAAACUGACUACGGUUUGCAACUGCACAUUGGGACAAAGAUCAUACUUUUUGGAGAAAUGUCCUCUGGUCUGAUGAAACAAAAAUAGAACUGUUUGGCCAUAAUGACCAUCGUUAUGUUUGGAGGAAAAAGGGGGAGGCUUGCAAGCCGAAGAACACCAUCCCAACCGUGAAGCAUGGGGGUGGCAGCAUCAUGUUGUGGGGGUGCUUUGCUGCAGGAGGGACUGGUGCACUUCACAAAAUAGAUGGCAUCAUGAGGAGGAAAAUUAUGUGGAUAUAUUGAAGCAAUGUCUUCCAAAGGGACAAUGACCCCAAGCAACCUUCCAAAGUUGUGGCAAAAUGGCCUAAGGACAACAAACUCAAGGUAUUGGAGUGGAUAUCACAAAGCCCUGACCUCAAUCCUAUAGAAAAUCUCUGGGCAGAACUGAAAAAGCGUGUGCGAGCAAGGAGGCCUACAAACCUGACUCAGUUACACCAGCUCUGUCAGGAGGAAUGGGCCAAAAUUCACCCAACUUAUUGUAGGAAGGCUACCCGUAACGUUUGCCCCAAGUUAAACAAUUUUAAGGCAAUGCUACCAAAUACUAAUUGAGUGUAUGUAAACUUCUGACCCACUGGGAAUGCACAUGUAGCCUGUUUUAGAGAAAUGCAAUCAUUGAAUAUUCUAAGAGCUUUCAUUGGUUUCCUUAUAUUCCCCCUUAAUUUAUCUUACGGUUCUGACUUGGUGUACAGGGAAAACACUAAGAACGGCCCAUGUUCUGAAUUCUGUCACUGUACAUUUCAAAAGGGCUGAACAAAUAGUUAUGACUACGUGCAUUUUAGCUCGCUCAUUGUCUUAAUAAAAAUGACGGAUUUCCUCUUAUUGUGCCCUUAUGCCAUAGUAUGUACAUCUUAAAUUGUUAGUAGAAACCACAUUUGUUUAAGCAAGUCUGACAUAUCAGCUUUUUUAAAACUUUUUUUUUAAUAAGGCAGUAAACGAGGCUGAAUAAACUGUUUUGCUGCCAGACAAGGCUCCGCUGAUCGCCAGGUGAGGUUUCACUCCACGAAGCUGAAAGAUAAGCCGUGGUACUGGGACAGCUUUAUGUAAGCCGUAACAGUUUGUGGGAACCGUUAUAGUGCAAUUAAUGUAUUGUUUAGUGGCUUUGCUGGCAUGCAUUAAAAAAUAUAGAAUUUUUAUUUGGAGGGGGGGGGGGGGGUUCACCCCUCCAAGAUAAAGAAAUAAAAAAAUCGAAGUAAAGUUCUCCUUGUGAUGCAAGAGUAGAAAUGGUGCAUUUAAUUCAACGACGUUUCUGUGUUUUUAUAGAUGCAACGGAAAGACAAUGUAUCCCCAUUUCAGCCAUUAUCAUUGUUUGACAGGUCAUUUUGUAACAUUUCCGCAGGAGUACCAUUAACUGGGUGGGGGGAGGCACAAGAAAGAGUAUGAAAGUCACACGAGUAUAAUAAAAGCAAUCAAUCCAGUGAGACUUCAAUGAUAAGUGGAUUUUGUACCCCUCAAACACUGAAAAAGAGACCAACCCUCAGGUUGAUGAGUCAUGCAUUUUUGCUUACUCAAAAUAAAUACAACUGCCCGUUAGAAAUCUGUUGUGCUGGCUCUAUGCAGUCACCUCACCUAAAAAGGUACAGUUCUCAUAGUGGUGAAGUC
This 4973-nucleotide long non-coding RNA is filed under the name Salmo salar (Atlantic salmon). RNAcentral's name for it is "lncRNA (ENSSSAG00000095717.1, ENSSSAG00000105029.1)". The record is from RNAcentral. Lineage: Eukaryota; Metazoa; Chordata; Actinopteri; Salmoniformes; Salmonidae.